AUGUACACAAUGGCAGCCCACGGAGAGGAUGAGGGCAAGGGAGACAGAAUCGCUUGAGCCUGGCAGAGCAAAUGAAAACACAUCAGAGAGAUUUUCCUUGAAAGGAAGGUGGUAUGUAUGUAUGUAUGGGGCCUGGCAUGAGGCAAGAUUGGAAUUCACAAUUCAGUUAAAGAAAAUAGGCAAAUGACAACGUUAGGAAAUGAUUUGAAAGGAAGAGCUCUACACCCCUGCCACAAAACUAAACAGGUGCAAGCUACCAUCAUGAAACACAUCACCCGCCAGCUGCACUCAACAGGGGACAGGAUACGCAGGGCUUAGAGAAAGUGCUGCUUGCUAACUCUACAUUUCCAUGUUACAUCUUUGUCGUCGUGGAAAGAGAAAGAGAAGAAAGGGAAGAUAUGAUAGCAGGAACAUUCACUGAAGUACAGACUCACUGAGCAAUCAUGACAAGCUAAAUCCCACUUACUCCUCAAGACAUGGCUCCUAUGUCAGCUCUUCAACAAAUCCUUCCCUCAUUUCCCAGGCUCACCAGGAACUCUCUUCACUGGGCCUCCAAAGGCACCCUAUGAAUACUUCCAGAAUUCCACUUUGCCCUACAACCAUCUCUCCAUGUGCUCUUCUAGGCUUAUAAGCAUAUGAGAGCAAGAAAUGUGACUUUCAUUUUGAAUAACUGUUGUAUGAAUGGAAAACAUAGUUAGCAAUUUAUCAUAUCUCAUGAUUGCCCUUAAAUCUAAAUAUUGGAAUCAUCUUUAUCUACGUUUUUAUUAUUUUGUUUUUUAUAGGCUUGCAGCUUAUCUUUCCAUGUAGUUAAAAUCCCUUGAGGGUAGGAAAUGUUUUAUUCUUUAUAUUUUUGCCAACUGCCCAAAUCAAACUCUAAAAUACAGUGUGAGAUCUCAAAAUAUCUGUUGCUUAUAUUAUAGCAAUAUUUGAACCAAGAUAUACAUAUAUAAAU
RNAcentral lists this long non-coding RNA (952 nucleotides) under Homo sapiens (human). Its description in RNAcentral is "HSALNT0336871". The record is from RNAcentral. Lineage: Eukaryota; Metazoa; Chordata; Mammalia; Primates; Hominidae.